This 904-nucleotide ribosomal RNA is filed under the name Epicoccum mackenziei. RNAcentral's name for it is "partial large subunit ribosomal RNA". It matches the Rfam family "Eukaryotic large subunit ribosomal RNA", at positions 40 to 962 of the family's 3401-position model. Lineage: Eukaryota; Fungi; Ascomycota; Dothideomycetes; Pleosporales; Didymellaceae. The record is from RNAcentral.
AUAUCAAUAAGCGGAGGAAAAGAAACCAACAGGGAUUGCCCUAGUAACGGCGAGUGAAGCGGCAACAGCUCAAAUUUGAAAUCUGGCGUCUUUGGCGUCCGAGUUGUAAUUUGCAGAGGGCGCUUUGGCAUUGGCAGCGGUCCAAGUUCCUUGGAACAGGACGUCACAGAGGGUGAGAAUCCCGUACGUGGUCGCUAGCCUUUACCGUGUAAAGCCCCUUCGACGAGUCGAGUUGUUUGGGAAUGCAGCUCUAAAUGGGAGGUAAAUUUCUUCUAAAGCUAAAUACUGGCCAGAGACCGAUAGCGCACAAGUAGAGUGAUCGAAAGAUGAAAAGCACUUUGGAAAGAGAGUUAAAAAGCACGUGAAAUUGUUGAAAGGGAAGCGCUUGCAGCCAGACUUGCCUGUAGUUGCUCAUCCGGGUUUUUACCCGGUGCACUCUUCUACGGGCAGGCCAGCAUCAGUUUGGGCGGUUGGAUAAAGGUCUCUGUCACGUACCUCCUCUCGGGGAGAUCUUAUAGGGGAGACGACAUGCAACCAGCCUGGACUGAGGUCCGCGCAUCUGCUAGGAUGCUGGCGUAAUGGCUGUAAGCGGCCCGUCUUGAAACACGGACCAAGGAGUCUAACAUCUAUGCGAGUGUUUGGGUGUCAAGCCCGAACGCGUAAUGAAAGUGAACGGAGGUGGGAACCUUUCGGGGUGCACCAUCGACCGAUCCUGAUGUCUUCGGAUGGAUUUGAGUAAGAGCAUAGCUGUUGGGACCCGAAAGAUGGUGAACUAUGCUUGAAUAGGGUGAAGCCAGAGGAAACUCUGGUGGAGGCUCGCAGCGGUUCUGACGUGCAAAUCGAUCGUCAAAUUUGGGCAUAGGGGCGAAAGACUAAUCGAACUAUCUAGUAGCUGGUUCCUGCC